This 259-nucleotide ribosomal RNA is filed under the name uncultured Streptomyces sp. RNAcentral's name for it is "partial 16S ribosomal RNA". It matches the Rfam family "Bacterial small subunit ribosomal RNA", at positions 981 to 1234 of the family's 1533-position model. Lineage: Bacteria; Bacillati; Actinomycetota; Actinomycetes; Kitasatosporales; Streptomycetaceae. The record is from RNAcentral.
UUGACAUACACCGGAAAACCGUGGAGACACGGUCCCCCUUGUGGUCGGUGUACAGGUGGUGCAUGGCUGUCGUCAGCUCGUGUCGUGAGAUGUUGGGUUAAGUCCCGCAACGAGCGCAACCCUUAUCCUGUGUUGCCAGCACGCCCUUCGGGGUGGUGGGGACUCACGGGAGACUGCCGGGGUCAACUCGGAGGAAGGUGGGGACGACGUCAAGUCAUCAUGCCCCUUAUGUCUUGGGCUGCACACGUGCUACAAUGGC